RNAcentral lists this ribosomal RNA (497 nucleotides) under uncultured bacterium. RNAcentral describes it as "partial 16S ribosomal RNA". It matches the Rfam family "Bacterial small subunit ribosomal RNA", at positions 28 to 507 of the family's 1533-position model. The record is from RNAcentral.
GAUGAACGCUGGCGGCGUGCCUAAUACAUGCAAGUCGAGCGAACGGACGAGAAGCUUGCUUCUCUGAUGUUAGCGGCGGACGGGUGAUUAACACGUGGAUAACCUACCUAUAAGACUGGGAUAACUUUGGGAAACCGGAGCUAAUACCGGAUAAUAUUUUGAACCGCAUGGUUCAAAAGUGAAAGACGGUCUUGCUGUCACUUAUAGAUGGAUCCGCGCUGCAUUAGCUAGUUGGUAAGGUAACGGCUUACCAAGGCAACGAUGCAUAGCCGACCUGAGCGGGUGGUCGGCCACACUGGAAGUGAGGCACGGUCCAGACUCCUACGGGAGGCAGCAGUAGGGAAUCUUACGCAAUGGGCGAGAGCGUGACAGAGCAAAGCCGCGUGAGUGAUGAAGGUCUUCGGAUCGUAAAACUCUGUUAUUAGGGAAGAACAUAUGUGUAAGUAACUGUGAACAUCUUGACGGUACCUAAUGAGAAAGCCACGGCUAACUACGUG